RNAcentral lists this ribosomal RNA (775 nucleotides) under uncultured Neocallimastigales. RNAcentral's name for it is "partial large subunit ribosomal RNA". It matches the Rfam family "Eukaryotic large subunit ribosomal RNA", at positions 22 to 635 of the family's 3401-position model. The record is from RNAcentral. Lineage: Eukaryota; Fungi; Neocallimastigomycota; Neocallimastigomycetes; Neocallimastigales.
GUACACGCUGUGACUAGCAUAUCAAUAAGCGGAGGAAAAGAAACUAACUAGGAUUCCCUCAGUAACGGCGAGUGAAGCGGGAAGAGCUCAAAUUUGAAAUCUUCAAGGUUCUACCUUGACGAAUUGUAGUUUAAAGAAGUGUUUUCUGCUGAAGUUUUGGUAAAAGUUCUUUGGAAUAGGACAUCAUAGAGGGUGAGAAUCCCGUAUUUGACCAUUAUUUUCAGCUUUGUGAUACACUUUCAAAGAGUCGGAUUGUUUGGGAAUGCAGUCCAAAAUGGGUGGUAAAUUUCAUCUAAAGCUAAAUAUUGGCGAGAGACCGAUAGCGAACAAGUACCGUGAGGGAAAGAUGAAAAGAACUUUGAAAAGAGAGUUAAACAGUACGUGAAAUUGUCAAAAGGGAAGCGUUUGACACCAGUGUUGUUUUCUCGAAAAUCAAUUAAAAAUGGCUCGAUUUUGUAUUGCUUAAGACCUUAAAAGCUCACUGUACAUUUUUCGUGUCUUUUUUAAUGCACUUUUCGUUUAACAAGUCAGCAUCAGUUUCUUUUGUUGUAAAAGGGUCAUUGGAAGGUGGCUUUCUUUUCGGAGAAAGUGUUUAUAGCCUUUGGCCUCUGCAAUCGGAGAGACUGAGGUCUGCAGCGUAGACUCUUCGGGGUUAGAUACAUUUGUGCUAAGUUAUAGCUUUUUAUAGACAACUUGUUGACUAUAAUUAGUCUUGUAGCUUACUCGCUUAUGCUAUUUUACCUACGCUUAGGAUGUUGAUCUACAGAGCGAGAGU